ACAUCUGUUGCUCAAUUGGAUAGAGCGUUAGACUACGAAUCUAAAGGUUGGAAGUUCGAAUCUUCCCAGAUGUA
Molecule: transfer RNA, 74 nt
Filed under: Pyropia nitida
Lineage: Eukaryota; Rhodophyta; Bangiophyceae; Bangiales; Bangiaceae
Description: tRNA-Arg
Rfam family: tRNA
About the family: Transfer RNA (tRNA) molecules are approximately 80 nucleotides in length. Their secondary structure includes four short double-helical elements and three loops (D, anti-codon, and T loops).
Source: RNAcentral